UGGUGGUGGUGACCGGAUCUCAAUCUCCUCUCCCUUGUCUCUUGUUUCCAGAUCCGGAUCCAGAUCUAGGCUAAGGUGGAGUGUCUUGAACCCAUCUUGUUCUCAUGUACUGUAUACUCCUUUAUGUUGGAGUUAGGGUUGAUUAGACCCUGUUUGAAAGCUAGGAUGAUAGAUCAUGAUUAUUGCUAGGAUGUUAGAUGAAUGGAACACGAUGCAUAAGAACCCUCAUAUUGUUAAAUGGGACUUAGUAAACUGAAAUGGAGUUGUGGUAGCGAUGAUUGAUUGGUAAUUUAUGCUUGUAUGUUUGGAUGUGUAGUCCCAUGAGUGGUUUGUGAUUAAAGCUAGGAUGCUAGAGAGAAAUGAAUGCUAAGCUGAUAGAUGAGUAAUGAUUGUUAAUGUUAUUGAAGUAGAACUUGAGUGCAAUGUGUAUUGUGUGUGGCACCGAUAACGGGUGGCGUCUAGUGAAUGAGUCCAAGUACAAGUCUAAAUGAAAAGGAAAGCGAAUGAGAAUGGGAAGGGAUAAGU
This 525-nucleotide long non-coding RNA is filed under the name Brassica napus (rape). Its description in RNAcentral is "long non-coding RNA (BNAP_LNC023370)". The record is from RNAcentral. Lineage: Eukaryota; Viridiplantae; Streptophyta; Magnoliopsida; Brassicales; Brassicaceae.